RNAcentral lists this ribosomal RNA (288 nucleotides) under uncultured Oscillibacter sp. RNAcentral's name for it is "partial 16S ribosomal RNA". It matches the Rfam family "Bacterial small subunit ribosomal RNA", at positions 355 to 658 of the family's 1533-position model. Lineage: Bacteria; Bacillati; Bacillota; Clostridia; Eubacteriales; Oscillospiraceae. The record is from RNAcentral.
UGGGGAAUAUUGGGCAAUGGACGCAAGUCUGACCCAGCAACGCCGCGUGAAGGAAGAAGGCUUUCGGGUUGUAAACUUCUUUUAAGGGGGAACAGUAGAAGAGGGUACCCCUUGAAUAAGCCACGGCUAACUACGUGCCAGCAGCCGCGGUAAUACGUAGGUGGCAAGCGUUGUCCGGAUUUACUGGGUGUAAAGGGCGUGCAGCCGGAGAGACAAGUCAGAUGUGAAAUCCGCGGGCUUAACCCGCGAACUGCAUUUGAAACUGUUUCCCUUGAGUAUCGGAGAGGU